CUGGCCCCAGCUGGAGAUACUCUCUGCACAUACUCACUGAUGUGUUUCAGUAUUGAUAAUUGGUUCUGGCUCACUCUAAGCCCAAUCCAAGUCUUCAACUGAUAUGCCUUGUGAAAUUAUUAUGCACCUUGUUUUUGAGCUUUGCUUCUCCCUUCAUGCGCUGCUGCCAUUUACUUACCUGUAUUGUAGGGAUAGACUGAAAAACCUCAUAGCAUUCUUACCUGAGAGAUGGGCAAAUAAACAUAAAGUUCUGUAUGGGCUUGUUGUAUGUUUACUAUUUCCACCCUAAACAUUUCUUUACUUUUUAAAAAUGGCACUCUUGUUAGGUUUGCUAAUGUAUUUUUAAAUUUUUCAUGGUCAGUAAAUUAAGCAAGGGUGAAUAACUGGUGGGUUUUGAUUGCUAGGGGUAGGACCUGCAGAGUGUUUGGCAGGUCAGAGAUGGGACCAGUUGAGUUUGGGUAGAUAUGGGAAGGGUCUGAUGGGCUUUGACUCAUCAGGCUAGAGCCUUGUACAUUGGGUGUGGGUUCCAUGGGAGGUAGUUUAACACACACACACCUCAACUCAGAAUAUCCACCACAGGGUUGCUUUCAACCCUACUCUCUGCCACAAAUCAGGCCUUCAGUAUUACGUUUCUCCACGCGCUCCCCACCCCACCCCUACCACACAUAUGUAAGAGGAUAGGUGUCACAGGGAGAAGAGGUGACCUUUAAGCCCCUUUGUACAUCCGGUGAUGGAAUUGUGGGUAGGAAGGUAGUUAGCAAGAGAGCAUGUGAGUACAUAAUCUGUUCUUAAAUGCAAACAAUUCAUUUGGUGAAAUAAUAAAGGGAUGUAUUUUAAGUUGUUGAAAUCAAGUGUGCCUUUCUCCCCAUCUAGUGGCUGGUCCACAAGAGGUUUGUCAGUGUGCUGUUCAUCCUGCAUAAGCUAUGUGGAGAUCAAACCAGCAGGAGCAUUAAUGAAGUUGGCAGGGCUCCCAUCAGCAAGUUGAAAAGAUUUUGAGCUGUGGGCUUACUGGAUGGCAUUGAAUGUAGAUUUAUCUAGGUGCUGAGCUUCUGUAUCUUAUGUUUACUCACAUACAUACCAUGUAUACAUACAUACAUACCAUGUAUACCUGUUGCAAAUAUAAACGCCAUAUUAAUAAUCUAGUGAUAAUAUAUUUCAGGCUUGAUUCAAAGCCUUACAUGUUCUGUAGUUAUUGCAGACAUUUUCAAAGAUCUGUCAGUAUUUUAUUUGCCAUUCCCUGUAAUAGCAAAGUUAAGAAGCUGAAUGUCAAUCAGAUCUGAAGACAUCAACAACAACGGACCCAACAAAAAAUAGCCCAACAAAGACCUAUUAGUUCCCAGAACUUAUAUAAUGUUGGUGGCAGUUGGGUAACAUAUCCUGUUGUCUAGAGAUGAAACUUCUAGAUUCAUAUUGAAUACAGAAGAGAUGGUCCUGCCUUUGCUGCUUCCUUUUCCUGGGCUAUCUCAUGUUGACACACUGCUGUGUCCUGGAUUUCUCUAUUGUUUGUGAGAUGUAGGAAGCUGCCUUAAACCAGGUCCUACCAUUAUUCCAUCUAACCCUGUAUUUUCUAGAUGGAAUGGCAGUGGCUCUGCAGGAUUUUAGACAGGAUUCUAUUCCAGCUUUACCAUAGGAUGUGUGGCCCUUUUUAUGUGACAUACCUCUUUUUUCUCUGGUCAGGCCUCUCUUCUGUCACCAGGGUGGGAAGGGGAGGUCUAAAGGAAGCAGAAAUUAGGCAGAGCUGCACAAGUGGAAAUCCUGACGGAACUAGUUAAUUGGAUAUAGCCCAUUGUCUGGACUAAUCAGAUAAUGAUAAAGUCCACAUAGUUAUGGAGAGGAAGCAUUCUUACUUAGUUCAUAACCUGAAAAGGCUAUUUUAAUGCACUUUGGCUCUCAUGCAAAAUUCAACAGUGCCAGGUUCUUCUAGAUUAAAAUAAUACAAGUUUCUCUUUGUUGUUGUUGUUUUAAUGCAUAGGAAUGAUGGUUACACAGUGGGUUGGUUAACACAAGGCAUUCCAUUUGCAAGUACUCUUAUUUGAAAGAGAGCACCAAGGUUGCUAAGUGAAAUACCGGUCCCAAAGCAAGCAAAUGCCAAAGCUUAAUUAAAGACUGAAUCACAGAGCAAAGGCACAAAGGAAUUUUUCUACCACAGUAACAGUCACAGUCACAAACUAAAAACAGUUCAGCUAUGUAAGAUAGCUGGUUAGCAUGGGCAAGGGGGCCCCAGUAGUAAUAUCAUUUUUGGCAAAUGUGUUCCCCAUUGUCUAUCUUGUUAAAAGAAAUGUAAUAAGCUUUGUAUUUUGCAAAUAAUUCAGCAUAACUGUAAUUGAGCACAUUUUAUGCAUAGUUUCAGCAGAAUUGUAACCCCUCAGGCAAGAGUAAACUGAGGAAAUGUUAAUAUAACCCCAUUGUGAUGUGGAUUGUCCAUCUAUAGCCCAUUCUUCCAUCAUCUGUAAUUACCUGUAAUAACAAAAUGAUAUUACUGUGUCUGGCCCAUAGUCCUUUGAUCCCAGUAACUUAGGUCCCUUUUCACCUGUCAUGUACAGUAAAGGCUUAAGUAUAGACUCAGAGCAAACAACUUUGUGUAUGCCUAACAACCCUGAAGUUGCUGAAGGUUCUGAGAUAAUCUGAAGUGGUUUUUAAAGUACUUUUAUAUAGGUGGAAAGGUUAGAACUGUUUUGCAAUUGAUUUCACAAGAAAAACCUCAACAAAAAUCUAGUAUACUUUUUAUGGAUCAGACCCAGAAGUAUAGUUUGAAAAACUAGUUCCAACAAAAUGGAUUGGUUCCAGACUUAAUCAUAUUUGGUGUAGGGCCACUUUUGUAUGAGUGGUAGCCUGCAAUCCUAGCCUCAUUUACCUGGGAGUAAGCCCCACUAAAUUCAGCAACUUACUCCUGAGCAGACAUGGUUAGGAUUGCAUUGUUACUAUUGACUCCAACCCAGUGUUUCACACUUUGUGUACAAGUGCACAGUUCACCAGCAGCAACAUCCUUCCCAUAGUAUAUAAGUAAUCACUUGACCCUUGCCUGCUUCAACUCUUGAAAGACUUAGGUGAGGAUUGUCGUCUGGGGGGAAAAAAAUCAAUGCACAUUUAUAGCAAAAGAUCAUGUAAAUAAGGUAUGAACAUAAUAAAAAUCUGAACAACUGAGUUAUGCAGUAAAACUUGAUGGGUUACCUAAUCAAAUCUAUGAGGGCGAUAAAAAUGGUUUAUUAUCUCCCUUAAUCCAUAACUUCUAAGAGUCAUAUAACCUAAAGCAGUGGAAGUAUUAGGUCUGCAUAGACAGAGUGCUUUAAGGACCAAGCAGCUAUGCUGGAUGAAGAAUGAGAACACCAGUGCCACUGUUUUUUACUAGAGUUGUGGGCACCUGAAGAUUUAAUUCUGUGCUGUGUAAAUGUCUUCAUGCUUCCAUGCUUCCUUCAUGAUAUUAUUGAUUAUAUGACAUUGAAUAUUGUGCAUGAUACCUUGGGCAUAUUGCAUUAUUACUUUGGACAGUGCACCACAUUCCCCAUUUUAAAUUAUUGAAGCAACUUCCAUUUUUAAGUGCUGAUCCAGACAGCCCUGCUCAACAGCUGCUUGCACUCCCUGGUCAUGAAGAUGCUGGCCCUUUCCCGCCAGCAGAGAAACCUGCUUCACCUCUGCUAGCUGAUUGACAACCCUAAAGGUAAAGAGACCCCUGACCAUUAGGUCCAAUCGCGGACGACUCUGGGGUUGUGGUGUUCAUCUCGCAUUAUUGGCCGAGGGAGCCGGCGUACAGCAUCCAGGUCAUGUGGUCAGCAUGACAAAGCCUGCUUCUGGCGAACCAGAGCAGCGCACGGAAACACCGUUUACCUUCCCGCUUGGAGCGGUACCUAUUUAUCCACUUGCACUUUGACGUGCUUUCGAGCUGCUAGGUUGGCAGGAGCUGGGACCGAGCAACGGGAGCUCACCCCAUCGUGGGGAUUUGAACCACCAACCUUUUGAUCGGCAAGCCCUAGGCUCAGUGCUUUAACCCACAGUGCCCUACCUGGGUUCAAAUGCCGGGGACUGGGGGCCAUAUCUUUCCCGGCUGAGAUGUGCCUCACCUGGGAACUUUACAUUUUCUCUGAGGUGACAUAUAGAGACCAACUGCUGGCAUGUGUCUGGAAUAAUAUCACUUGGGCAGAGCUUGAGGUAAGAGAGGAAGGGCAAGCUAGAUGAAGGGGAUGCAACAUAGGCAGUUUGUGGGUGUUUUGCAUGCCAGCCCCUUCUCUACCCAGAAGAAUUAGAGUUGUGCUAUCAGCCAGCCUUCUGGCCUGUUGAUGCUGCAACUAAACACCAGGUCAGUUUUCAGUAAGAUCUCUCUUGUCCAUUUGAUUCACAUGUGGAGGAGCAUUUCUAAGUAGUACAGCCUGGAGCCAAGAACAGGAUGGAACUGAUGGUGGCCUGCUUGUUCAUAAAGCUGUUUGAGGAUGAAAUUGCAUGUAUCCAUGAGGACCUUAACUACUACUACUCCUCUUCUUAUUCUUCUUAUGCCACCCUAUACCCAUAGAUCUCAGGGUGGUUCACAACAUAAAAUUAUAAUAUAUUACAAAAUACAUAAUAAAACAAAGCAAAUCAAUAAUUCUUCCCUUCCACAUUUAAAAGGGCAUCAAUGUCAAUCAGCCAAAGACCUGUUGAAAAGGUAUAUAGUGAAGGUGCCAGCCAAACAUCCCUGAGGAGAGCGUUCCACAAGCAGGGAGCCACUGCAGAAAAGGCCUUUUCUCAUGUCUGCCACCCUCUGGACCUGGAGGAGGCACAUGAAGAAGGGCCUCGAGAGGAUGAUCUCCUAUUUGAUAAGGUGAAUCUCAAGAGGUCUACUCAUGUUGUGUUGGAUGAAUUACAGGUGGUAUGGCUUGAGGAUGUGGACCUGUUGAGUACAAAAUAUUUUAGGUUCAGCAAAUUAUGAUACUUGGAUAUAAAGGAGGGAUGUGCUGUUCUUUAGUGAGUAUGCGACGGUCUGAGGUUCAGUCUCUGGUAUUUCCCCCUAAAAGGAUCUCUAGUUCAACUAGGAAACACGUUUGCUUGAAUUCAUGGGAAGCUGCUAAAGGUCAGAGUAGAUAGCACUGGGUUAGAAGACCAAUGCAAGUUUCUGACCAGAAUCCCACAUUUUGACUGAUUCUGUAAAGGAAUGAUUAUGUUCCAAAUAUACAGUACAUGGAAUUUUAAACUAUUUUUGUGUAGUACUAUCUUUGGGCUAUAUUUUUCAAGCAAAAGAACUGUAUUUCUAAUACAAAAUGUGGUGGUGAUAAAAUCAUUAGUGUUGGGUUCUGCAUCAGAUAUGGUAGGGACUGCUGCAUCUUUUGUCCCAGUGUGCAAAACAGAAUCCAUAGGGUCUUACCUAUCUCUAUAAACAUAUAAAAGGUUGGCACAAUUGAGAUGUUUGUGCUUAUUUCUCACAUAGGCUCCUCCGCCAAACUCGUUACUCAAAAGGGAAUAAUGAACAUAGGCUGUCAGAAGAGUAGUCCACAGCAUGACCUGCACCAUAUGGCAUUAGGGAGAUAGGUUGUGUGUGCUAAUUUAGAUCUCUGCCUUCAUUAACAUUUUCUUAUGUUUUUCCCAAAUUAACUACCAUGCUGACUCAACAGUCAAGGAAUACUUGUGGGUGCCCUUCCUUAGAAUUGGUUAAUAUUAUAUCUGGAUCGGCUGAAAACAGAAACGCUACCUGAUCUUCUUUCAGCCAUGUUCCCUGACAUGUUUCAUUUGCAUAGCUGCUUUUUUCCAUCCUUAAUGCCAGCAACACCCUUUUUCAUCUGCUGAGGUUUACGUUUGUUUGUCUCUCAAUUCUCACUAGGAAAGAAAAAACCAAGUCAUAAAAUAUUUCAGUGCAUGACAUGACUAGGCAGUUGCAGAUCAGAAGCAGUGCUUAGUAAAUUGUAUAUUCCACUAUUCCUCCCCCUGCCAUUCCAUUUCCAAUAUGGAAUUUAAGAGCCUUCAGAUUUCCUUUUUCUGUAAGUUCCUGCUCCAGUUCUACAUGAUCCCCAGAGCCUUGUUUUAUCCUGUAUAAAACUGUAAUACCCUUUUAUAGUUAUAUGUAACUUUUUAAACAACUUGGCCCACAGACCUCAGAUGGAAUCAAUACAUGAUUGUAUUUUGGCUGAUUUCAUGUCAUUUGUACUCAGCAACCACAUGCUUAGAUCAUAACUGGGUAGUGAAAUAUAUGGGCAGUUAAGUCAGUUUAGCCUGACUCACUUAUCACAUUGGCAUAUCUCUUGCAUUGUUAGAGGAGAAGAAUAACAUGAAAUUUGUCUCAGUCUGUGUAAUGCAGUUGGGUCAAAUGAAAUUACCUUGGGGAUUCUCAGACAGUAGAAGAUUUGCCCUAGUUAGUUAGUUUGUUAAUAGUGAUUCUGGCUUCCUUUAGCCCUGUUUUGCUACCAGCUGAUUACCCUCAUAUCUUGCUAUGAACCAAACACACCUCGUGCAAUAUACCAUUAAGUAUAUUUUUAAAUUUAAUAUUUGACUCUCUAAUACACAUGCUCCGCUGUUCUCAGGAGCCCAUGUUCUGUUGUAGCUGUCUUCACCCAGAAGAAAGGGAAAUCCAAAAAUCUUAAGAAGAAAAAGCUUUCCAUUAUCCCAAGAUCCUUCCCAACAGGCCAGUUAAUGGCUAAUUGAAGAAAAAUGAUACUAAUUAAUCAUCAGUGUGCAUUUACCUCCGGAAUCUGGAAUUGGGGGCCUCCAUUUCUGGGAACUAACAUUUGUACAUUGCAAGUCUGGAGGAAACUUGCUGCUCAAUUUUAUUGCCUUUACCUCGGUGCUUCUAAUGACUGAUGUACCAAUAAAACUAUUUUGUGUCAUUAAAGCAGCUAUAUGUUUAUACUUUUUGAAAAUGAAUUUCCUCUCCUGCCUGGUGUGUAAUACCAAUUAAUUUGAAAUAUGGCUAUGGUUAUUUCCAUUCAUGAAACUUUAGACAGUGUCUUGCAUGAUAGUGAACUGGCUCUUCCAUUAAGCAGCAUCUCGCCAGCAAAUCUCUGGUUGGCUUCUGUCAUAUGUGACGUGCAAUGUGAUAUUUGUGCUUAAAGUACAUUGUAUUUAAAGCAUAUGCAUGUGAAGAACAACUUUAGUAGGAAGACUGUUUCUCUCCUGACUUUUGGAUGCUUUCCUGUGCAUCCAAAUGUUUAAUGUUUCUGGCAUUUCAGUACACUUUAUUUUAAUCCCAGUGGGGUGUAUUGUGAAAUUGCUAGCUAUUUCCAGGCAGUCUGAAAUAUAGAAGGUUAAACGCAUCAAAGAAAUAGUUGUUAUGGUUUAUGAUGUUUUGUAAGUGUGAAGGAAUUGUAUCUUUUUGUUUUCGUUAAGGCUUUACUGGCGUUCAUUGUUGCAGUGCAAAAUUGUAACAUGGCCAGAGCUGUAUUCAUAGAGUGUAAUGAGCAUAGCAUGAGACAGAGAAAGCAGGAAGGGUUUCUGGCACAAAUAUGAGGAAUGGAUCAGCAAACAGCAACAGCCUGUAAAGCACAUUUGUAGAAAUACACUCAAAUGGAAUUGGAGGAUAAGUGAAAAACUUAUGGUUUUUAAUCUGGUGACCCUGUUGGGAUCAUUCAAGUGAAGAAACAAGACACCAACUGGACAGUAACAAUGCUUUGUAAACUGGAGGUUCACUUUUCUCUCUGUGUCUAUCUGUAUUCCCAAUAUCACAGAAUUGUGCUCUUUAAAAACAUUGGUGGGAAUAUGGGAUAGAAAUUUUAACGGUUUAUCAGAGCUCCUAAGACUGUGCAAAUUUUUCUUCUCUAAUGUUCUUUGUGACUGUAUGAGAUACCCUCUGUUUUUCAUGGUCCAUCUUAAAAUGAAGAUUCAUGAGAAUUUUAAAUUAGAGAUUGCUACAGCUAUAAAUUAGACAGAUAAGGAUUGUGCUUCCUGAUUUGCGAGAAUGGUUUUUCUUCAGGUCAUAUUCAUCAGUGUGCAUCAUGGAUUUUGUGCUGGUGUUUGCCCCUGUUUUCACUAUAGCAUGCAAUAAUUUGGAUUAUGUCAAGUAGUAUGUGAAUGUGAGAUAAUGUGUGAAUUGCUGGGUUGCAUAUGAAAAAAAUCUAGGGGUCUUAGUGGACCACAAGUCAACAGUGUAAUGCAGCAGCAAAAAAAAGCUAAUGCUUGACCGCUGCUCAAGUUAUGAGCUUCCCUGAUCUGUAAAGAAACUGACCUCAAAGUCCACUAGCCCUGCCCAGCCAACACUGCUGCUUGUUUUAGGCAGCAUGUCCUUCCUGAUGUUUCUGUGUUGAAGUAGGCACACACCGGUGGUAAGAUGUGUACAGGAUAGGCUAUUGGUGUGCUUAGUCUUCCUGCAGGUUAGAACAUGGUUGCAGCCCCUCUCACAGAACUUUAAAGAACCUGAUCUUAAGGAGCACUCAGGUAAUUUGUACAGCUGCCAGGUGUGAGUUGCUAACUUAUUUUGCUUGGAAUGUAUAGCUCAGGAAUACUGAAACCUGUUUAAAUUCCCUUUGGGGACCUAAUCCCCAUGGAAACCUCUCCUUCUACCAAGGAGAGAGGCUGAAAAAUCCACAGUACGUUCCCAUUAAAGCACAACCAUCAAGCAGCACAGAUCUCUUUUGUGCAGUCAUGUGGUUAGCACCUUUUGUAACUGUUCAGUCCUCUUAAUUUUGUAGAAAUGCAUACAAAUGUAUGAGCUGUUAAGUAUCAGGCUCCAAAAGGCUUACAGUGUUCAAAGGCUGCAUUGCCUGAAGAGCUGCCCAUUACUCUCCCCUAGCUGGUCCUUGAGCAAUAAGAACCUGAAGUGCAUUUGCUUGAAACAAGCAUGCACUCCUUUCUCUCUGGAUUCAUGCUGCUUCCAAAAACAUUGAUGAAUGAUCCUCAAAUAUAGGGAAUACUUAACAAGAAUAUUGAACUAUGGACAUGACCUAGUACUUGUGUGGGGAAUAUAAUUGGAGGCCUUGUGCCCCUCUCCCACACCCAUUUUAACUCUGUACAUCCUUCCUCCCCAUUUGGUAAGACCAGGAGAAAUGUUUAUUGCACAUUUUUAACCAGUGUUCUCAUUAUGUUAACAGAAAUAUUUGUGGCAUGCGGCCAUCAAAGAACAUGGAAGCAAGCUAAUGAAUGCUAAUGAUUUCCAAGUAGCUUGUCAAUAGAACAAAUUUAAUAAUCAGUGUUUUGGGAUUCUACAUUCAUAAGUCAGUGUGUUGCUAGGGUACAGAAGUCAGAGGUACUGUCUUCUCCCAUCUGCUUUGAGACUGAUGGUGAUCUGUAUUUCUUGCCUGUGUCAUUCUUCUAGCUUCAGGCCAUAGCCUGGAUGAGGCAGUGCCAAAAAUUAGAUGAGGAGUCUGCGAACACACUUUUUAAUCCAUAAUCGCUCAAUGUGAGAGACGUAUAUGUGGCAAGUACAUGUGACAACUAGCAAUGUGACAUUUCUAUUCUACAGUCAGAAAAUGCUACAUAUAGAAUAGUAAGAGUUGAUAGACAGAUGAAGAAAAACAGUUUUCUUGUACUGUACAUAAAGUUUAAUGGUUUCAGGCCUAAUUUCAACCAUUAAUCGCUGUUGACAUACUUUUUACUUUAGUUCAAUAGCCACAAAUUUAUAAAAAGUAAAUAUUAAAAUAUAUUUAUCAAUAUUAAGAAAAUCCUCAAAAAAGGGAAAAAAGAUAGAUACAGAUAGAUACCCUGCAUGCAAAAGCAGGCUUUGUUAGAUUGAGCAGAGGAGGCCAACAGUGGGUCCCAACAGUCAAGAAGACAGUUUCUGCAUAUGCUGUAGAGGAAGUGAGGAGCAGAUGCGGCUCAUCAAUGUGGGAAGGCAUCCCAUCUAGGAGAUGGAAAAUUCUGAUCCUAAACCUCCACCACCUUGCGGGAUCUCUUUGGGAGAUAAAAAGGCAAAUCCAGAAUGGAGUCCCUAAGGCAGUUGUACACCUCCUUCUGGCAACUCCUGCAGCCAAGCUGGUGCCAAACAUAUUGCUCUGCUUUUCUUUGGAUCACAUCCGUGAAGGAGCACAAGACCUCCAUACACACUUCCCAGCCUCACGUCCCAGAGAGAACACUUCAGUGUUGCUAACACAGGUUUUUGACUUCAACCCCGGAGGAGCACUCCAUUCUGUCUUGAAUGUCAGCAGCAGCAGAAGCAGCUGCAACAACAACAACAACAACAACAACAACAACAACAACAACAACAACAAAACACACACACACACACACAUAUAUAUAUAUUUAAGAGGAAGUAAACCUGUUGAAAGCAUGCCCAAUGUCCAUAUGAAAGCUAUAGGCAUCUCUUUAUGCAGGUCUGCCUUGUAGCAGAUCAGACUGUUGGUCUGUCUAGCUCAGUAAUGUAUACUGUGUCUCUGACUCUGCAGAAGUCUUACCCACCACCUGCUAACUGAGCCUUUUAACAAGAUUGUACUUGGUACCUUCUGCAUAUGAAUAAUGGGCUCUACAGCUUGAACUGUGGUCCCUUCGUCAUAUUGCUGGUCCCUUCCUAUAGGAAUUAUUGUCUGUAUUUAUCUUAUUUAUAUUUUAUUGAUCUUUCUAUCUCAUUAGGCCUCUUGUGGCUCACAGAAUGAGUUAGUUAAUUUAUUUUUACUUUGUACUUGUAACUGAUUCAUGGCAAAAUGCUUAGGUGGGCUUAAAAACAAACAAACAGAUGACAAGGGGAAUUUGGCCUCAAACUUAAGGAGCAGCCACUGAGAGUGCUUGCUCCACAAAACGUGACAAUGGAAUGCACUGCUGAUUACUGCUAUGCAACCAUGGGUACCCCAGAACCUAAUUAAAAAUUAAAAAAGAUUAUGCACUUGCAGACUGAAGAGGUAUAAGUCCAUCCUAUCACAUCAUUCCCUUGCAUAUGUGGUCCAGUGAUACAUCAGAGACCGUUGAAGACAUGUAAAUCUGAGGCCUGGUAUACACUUGCAGUAGAAUGAUGUGGUUAAACACUGAGGUUGCCCUGCAGGAAGAAGAUUGGUUUAUAAAUAAAUAUAACCACUGCAAACAUUGCUAGCCAAAGGCUAAAUGUGACAUUGUGUGUAUAUAUACGGUAUAUACCUGUCAAAGAGACAGAUUGUGUUUGUUUGCAGUCAGCUCUGAACAAGGAUUUAAUUCUAAUAAUAUUCUGGGAAUCCUGAUUCCCAGUUGUGCUGUUAUUUUAUAUAUUCUCGGAUAUUCCAGGCAAGUCUGUGAGGAAGAACUGGUUAUGUUAGUGUGUUGCAACUGACAUGAAGGUGUCCUUGCACUUGAUUUUUGACCUUUCUCUUCCCCUCCCGGGACAGAAUAUGUCACUUCACUUUCUUGGUCUUUGGCUUUUACUGCAGUCAUGUCAAUAUUCACUUAACACAAAAGGGCAUUUCUUUCAAUAAUGCACAUCAAAGGUGUUUUACUAUAAAAACUUGGACAAUCCAAGCAAGCCUUAUGCAACAUAUUAUGUAGCAUCUGAGUUAAGGGCAGCUUGGAGAGUUUUGUUUAAAAGAAAGCAAGAGGAGCUUUAUAGUAAGGAAUCUGUAACUGUAUAGAGAUGGAUAAAGCAGUAGUUGGAAGGGAUGUAAACCACUUUGGGAUUAGGUUUGUGUGUGUGUGUGUGUGUGUGUGUGUGUGUGUGUGUGUGUUUGUGUGUGACUCUCCCAUAGUUUGGGAGGAUUCAGUGUUUAACAUUUUCAAGAACAAUCAAAGCAGAACAUUGAACAGAUAUUUGAUGCUUUCUGGAGUUAAAUUUACAUGCAGUAGCAAGGGAAUUGAAAGGUUUUAGCAGGCAUGCAUAGAAUAGUGGAUGAUGAGGGGAGUGGAUUUGCCUUAGGGCUCUCUGUUAAUGAGAAAAUAUCAGUUGCGUUCACCACUGCUGUGUGUAUCUGCCUGUUCCACCCAUGAUGAUAAACACCCAUGAUGAUAAAAUAAGAAAAUUAUAGGAAGAAAUGAGACAUUGAAAGAUUAUCUAGUCUGUCUUCCCACCCAGCUGGGACCAAUUAUCCCUAUUACCAUCCCUGAUGCAAGAAAAACACUUAAAUUUCAUUACGUAAUAAUUUCCAGCCAGGAUAGUGUGUGUUUUCCAUAGGGUGUAAAUUGAAUAAUAAAGUGACUGAUGUCAGUGGAGUUCCCAAAUACAGAUCUCAAGUCCAACCCUGUGAAUCUUUCUAUUUUAGUACAGAAGAGUUCAGUAGUUACGUUUGAUUUUUUUUUUAACAGGGUAUGACAUAUUCUGUUGACUAGGCUUCCCCCAAAACCAUUAAAGGGAUAUCAGUUCUAUAAAAAUGUUUGCUGACAAUAUGCCUAGCUGAGCUUUGAAGCAAAAGUUAUGUGCAUGACAGAAUGCCAGCCAUCUGGCAACCAAACAUAUUUCACUCCUACCUAACCUCUGACUUCAGAAUUGUCAGAGCCUUCCUAUAGCACCUGUUCUGUAGGGCAGGGAUUUCUGUUUCAGAACCCUUCAAGUGAUGGUGAUGAUUAUGCUCCCAAAUAAUAAUAAUCUAAGCUGCAGCUGUUGAAUUUUAAAAGUUUCCUCCACAUAAAAAGUUAUGCUUUGCUUUUACAUUUUAAGGGCUGUGUUGUACAGCACGCAAAUCAUAGCAAAGCCAUCGUGCAUUUCUUCAUUGCAAUGAAACGUGACGUUAAGCUAUUACUUGAAAACUGUUUUCCAGUGCAAAUUUUAUGCCUACCAUGGGAAACAAUGGUAGCUAUGUUCAUUGUUAUAACCUUGAUGGGGAAGCCCAGUCUGCUUGUUCAUUUAAUCGUGCGAGGAGCUGAAGAUUCCUGUAUCCUCGCCCACUUUUGCUUCCUGGCUUCUAGUCACAGUGAUAAUAUGUAGUGAAUGUUGUGAUCACAUAAGUUUUUGCUGUUAAAAAAAAGUACUUAGAAAUGAAAUGUUAAUUUUAUACUCUGGAUAAAUUGCACAAUUUAGAAAUACAUUUAAUUUGCAUAUUCUAAAAGCACAUCCAGGAUUCAGGCAGGCAGAGUAUUUGCAGGAGUAGAGAUCUGAAUCUCACCCCAUGAGAGGAAGGGUGGGCAAAAGUCUGGAAAGCCUAGACAUGGAGGUGUGAAACAAAGGCAUAGGGUUAAAUAUUAACGAGGUGGGGGGACCAAAAAGUGUCAGUUGGAUCAGAGUUAGCUAGCUUGUACAGUCAAAGAGACAAUGUAGGAUGACCCUGUUUAUAGAAAAGAAUCAGAAGCUGUGGCGUUUCACCUCUAGAGGGUCUAGAAGGACUUAAGUUGCCAGGGAGGGAAACGGCCAAUGGGAGCUCUCCAGGCAGAAGCAGGGAUAUAUAAGGGGAAGCAGGCAGACAGGAGGGAGAGAAAAAAAAGUGAGUUGGAGAUGAGAGGAGUUGAAGGGAGUUGGUGUUGAGUUAGGAGUGGUUGGUUAGUUGCAGAGAGAGCUGGUUUAAUAUAUUGAGGUGGAGAAUAGGUGGUGAUUUUAGUCAGACAGGAUACAGAGUUGAGAGAUUAUUUACAAAUAUUUAUUUAGUUGACUUUAGCGGUAAUAGGCCGGUAAUUUAUAAUUAGAGGUAAUAGGCCGGUAUAGGAACCAUCUGAAAUUUGGAACAACCUAAGAUUUGUACUGCAACCAUUAAGCUUAUGAACACUCAAUAAAGCAACUUCGUUUUAUUUUACCUUAUCCUGGUCUGUGGUGUUUUGAGGAGGUAUUUAUUUUGUCGUUGGCACAUCACCAGUAGACCGCCAAACGUCCGGGGGUGAUGUGCAGGUCAGAGUGACUGCGACAGAAGCAUAUAUGACAAAUUUUUUCCUAGUUGUUCAGUUUCCUGACUUGAGAAUACAGAGAAAAUUAGAAAGAUCAGAACCAACUGUUCUCCAACUGUUUCUUUCACUGAGUGGACUGCACUGUGCCAGGUGGGAGAUGAACUGUAGCUUUUAAUGGCAUGUAUUUUCUCUGCUGAGAUCGUCUAUGAUGACUGGGAUAGAAAUUUUAUAAAUAAAAUAAAAAUAAUUAUACUGAUGGGGUAUUUUCCCAGCUUGUAGUACCCUGUUUCUCAUAUUUUAAGACAUACCCAUAAAAUAAGCCAUAGCAGGAUUUUUAAGCAUUCAAGGAAUAUAAGCCAUACCCCGAAAAUAAGACAUAGUGAUAGGCGCAGCAGCAAUGCCGGCCGCGGCAGGAGGAGGAAAAAAAUAAGACAUCACUUGAAAAUAGGCCAUAGUGUGUUUUUUGAGGAAAAAAUAAAUAUAAGACAUGUCUUAUAAUAUGAGAAACACGGUACUGUAAGCUUAUUACCUGCCCUCAGGCUGUGGAACACUGGUAAGCUGUUUGCUUACAAUAUAAGCCCUGGAAACAGAUGGUCAGUCCCCUACUAUUGCUGUCAGCCAAAGGGAGCCUUGGCCUUGGCCUUGUUGUAAAAGGGAGACUUUCGAUUCCAUCAACCAGGCAGAAAUACUAGUUUCUGACAAAUAAAUCAUCCCCAUCCCUUCUACUAAUUGUAGAACACAUUUCAGAGUCCAAUGCUUUUCUCUUUUCAGUGUGUUAGGCACGUGGAUUUAUGUAGUUUGUUCCACCACGUGCUUUCCUUUGUGGCAAUAAUUCUUAUAUGUAAUGUUGCAUAGAGGCUGCCCCAUAGAGAGUCGGCCAAUCUCAGUUUUCUCUGUACUCCCUGGCAGUGUCUCUUUAGGGUUUUAGACAGGAGACUUUCACAAACCUACCUGGAGAUGCUGGAUAUUGAACACAAGACCUUCAGAUGGUCAACCCAUUGAGCUACAGCCCGUCCUAAACCACCAAUAACCUGCCAGUGUGCUGUAGUGGUUAAGAGCGGUAGACUCGUAAUCUGGGGAACCGGGUUCGCAUCACCGCUCCUCCACAUGCAGCUGCUGGGUGACCUUAGGCUAGUCACACUUCUUUGAAGUCUCUCGGCCUCACUCACCUCACAGAGUGUUUGUUGUGGAGGAGGAAGGGAAAGGAGAAUGUUAGCCGCUUUGAGAUUCCUUUGGGUAGUGAUAAAGUGGGAUAUCAAAGCCAAACUCCUCCUCCUCCUCCUCUUCUUCUUCUUCUUCUUCUUCUUCUUCUUCUUCUUCUUCUUCUUCUUCUUCUUCUUCUUCUUCUUCUUCUUCCCAAAGAGUACUGAAUUCUUAUUUUACAUGAACUGUGAAAUCCAUUUGCUAUACUUAUUACUGAGACAGUCUUGAGUGUGCAGUCUUGCCACACAUAGGCAUAAAUGCUCACUUGCCACACAUAUCUACUACAUAAGCCAUUGGUAGCCUCAAAGAAACAGCUUUCAUAAAAUAAAAUUUUGCUCAGUGAGCUAGCAACCAGUGAAUUGUAAGUUAUAACAGCUUACUUUAGUUCCCAUUUUCUUGGAACUGGUGGUCAACAGGCGGAGAAGUACAAAUUGAAAACCUUUUUAGAUUAAAAUUCCUAAAUGUACGCUGAGAUGUUUUAUUCAGCUUGUUAACCCUCCUCAGGGUCUAUAAUUGAGGGCAUUUCCUGUGUUGGUGGUAGAUGGGAUGGGGGUGGAAGAAACUAACUGAUUCCUACGUAUUUAUCUAAUAAACUUCUGUAUCAUCAAUGUUAGUCCCACCCAAACAUUCCUGUGCAUUAACCAGGCCUGUGGGCAUCAUCAUCGUCAUUAGAUCAGUGCAGAGACCAGCACAUCUGUUAAAACAUGGAUUGUGGUGGGAAAUGUGUGUAAAUGAGUCUUUUUAAUGAACCGUUUGCUCCCUGAUGGGGUUAGUAGCCUUUAUAUGUAUGAGGGAAUAGCACUUUUUCCAUUUUACAGCUACUCAAUACUUUAAAGAGCCAGACCAAACCCAAUUUCAGAUAUGGUGACAGCAGUCACGAAAUUAAAAGAUGCCUGCUUCUUGGGAGAAAAGCAAUGACAAACCUAGACAGCAUCUUAAAAAGCAGAGACAUCACCUUGCCGACAAAGGUCCGUAUAGUUAAAGCUAUGGUUUUCCCAAUAGUGAUGUAUGGAAGUGAGAGCUGGACCAUAAAGAAGGCUGAUCGCCGAAGAAUUGAUGCUUUUGAAUUAUGGUGCUGGAGGAGACUCUUGAGAGUCCCAUGGACUGCAAGAAGAUCAAACCUAUCCUUUCUUAAGGAAAUCAGCCCUGAGCGCUCACUGCAAGGACAGAUCGUGAAGCUGAGGCUCCAAUACUUUGGCCACCUCAUGAGAAGAGAAGACUCCCUGGAAAAGACCCUGAUGCUGGGAAAGAUUGAGGGCACAAGGAGAAGCGGACGACACAGGACGAGAUGGUUGGACAAUGUUCUCGAAGCUACGAACAUGAGUCUGACCAAACUGCGGGAGGCAAUGGAAGACAGGAGUGCCUGGCGUGCUCUGGUCCAUGGGGUCACGAAGAGUCGGACACGAUUAAACGACUAAACAACAACAUAUAAUGGGCGAAAUGAAACUGUGUUACAGCGAAGUGAAGCUGAACACAAGCAUGAACAGAUCCCAAAAGCACAACAUAGGGUGUUCUCCACUGCAAUUAAAAGGGGGGGGGCAGGCCAUGGAAGCAGACAUUGGAAGUGCUAUUGGUGUAUCACUGACGUGGUCCGAGAAGCACUUGGGAUGAUAAUGUUGCUCUCUUUGCUCUCCCAUCCAACACAGAACUUAUUUUUAUUUUUAUCACUCAAGGCCCUUGCAAUAUGUGUGUCGGGUGAGGUAUGUGUAUAAGAAUGAAAAUUAUAAUUUAUUAGGAGGCAGUAGAACGUGUGGUAUCAUUUUUCCCGGAGGCAAAACCCGUUUUUGUGUAAGGUAAUUCCACUGACAAGAUGAAGGAUCCAUUCUGAGCCAGCAGACUGCAUGCAAGAGGCCAAUUAUACCUGUAACAGGGUAGCCAUAGCCAGCGACUUGUCACACUCCAGUGGACGGCACUACUAAUGUACAGUUCCCAGGAUUAAAAGUUGGCCGUCUAGUGUGCACCCAAGUGAAUCUCAAAGCAAUAAGCUUUAGUGAUGUAGAGAUGUAUCUUAAUCACAGUGCCUACUCUAGUAUCAGUUACUGGUUUCUCAAUCUUAAAUCCGGAAUGGUGUAGUGUUUAAUAGAAUGAGCUGUGGACCAGCAAAUCCCUGUUUCAAAUUUCACUGCAGUCAUGAACUCAUUGAGUGCCCUCCAGUACACUUAUCUUUUAGCCUUAUCCCUACUUGUAAUAACUAGAUGAUAAUAUUGGCCUGCCUUAUUGGUGUGUUGGAGAGAUUGCUGAGGUUGGUAAAAAGUGCAUUGUAUGCUGAGGAAAAAUGCUCUAUGAAUUAUCUGUCAAUAAUGUAAGCAAAAUGACUGCUGCAUUUUAAUAGUCUCUGCCUAAAUUUGCAAUAUAACUUGCAAUUUCUUGUAAUAACUGCUUGUCGUUGUUGUUUUAAGCAUAUGUAUUGUAACCCUUACUACUAAACAGAGAAGUUUAAUGCAGCAUUGAAAUGCUAAUCUAAAAUCUGCAAAGCAGAAGACAAAUGAGAUUAAGCCAUAAACUAUCAACAUGUUUUACAUGGGGUCUCACAAAUACUUU
This is a non-coding RNA of Zootoca vivipara (common lizard), 17334 nucleotides long. The record is from RefSeq and is a predicted model, not a curated record. NCBI's taxonomy places the organism in Eukaryota, Metazoa, Chordata, Lepidosauria, Squamata, Lacertidae.